AUCUCCCAUGAUGCCGUUGUUUGGUGAAAUGACGAAAUGCUUAGAAUAUACGAUAUUCAUUUAUUUAUAUACACUAAGGAAAUAAUGAUGAAGGGUUGCUAGAGGUCAAAAUGUGUUGUGAUGAACCUGCACAAACAAUACCUCGGAAUCAGCCAUCUUUGUUGUUUACAUUCGCCUCGAACACUUUGAGGUCAAAACUGGGACAACCCAUUCUGAUUUCCCACCACCCUCGAAUGCAGCAAACGAUACUGUUGCGGCUUAAAGCAAACCAAUGAUACGUAAAAAAAAUUCACUUGUGUCAUAUUUUGCACAAAUGUCACGCCCAUAUGACAUUCAGGGACGCUUAAUUCUGACGUCAGAUUGAAUUUCGUGACACGCCUAUAUGACAUUCAGGGACGCUUAAUUCUGACGUCAGAUUGGAUUUCGUGACGUCAUCAACAACAAGACCGGUCGAAUAAAUCGAAAAUAGAAGACGGCGACUGCGGCAUUUGCCCUCGAGGGAUUGUUAUCAGACAGACUAAAGCAACACCAACGGAUAAUGUGGAAGGGCAAGCGCCCCCCAAUGACGCUUUGAGGGGAGCUUCCUCCUGAAGUGGUCGCUAAAUGUCCCCUGACAUUUGCCGACAUUACGACCAUGAGCAAUGGAGUCAGGAGGAGCGGUCACUUUAGUCAUUCAAGCGUCCGACCAAAAGCAUGAAGACUGCACAAUCAACUGCUUCCUGAGCUGGACUGUGGAGGAGCUGAAGAGUCACAUCGCCACUGUGUACCCCAGUAAGCCAAAAUGUUCUCAACGUGUACUGCAGCGCUCCAGAGAUCAGCAGCUAGUGUACUCAGGGAAGCUCCUGCAGGACCACCUCCAGCUACGAGAUGUACUGCGACAGCCGCACGACGAAUAUGCCAUCUUGCAUCUGAUGUGCAGUUCUUGCACCCCGCCGGGCUCGCCCGCACCCCAUUGCACCUCCACGCUCAACGCCGACCUUCUGACAGGUCCUCUCAUCUUUGUUAAGAGUUCCGAAAGUGCAAGGUCAGCACUUCGUGACAGUGCCUCCAUCUCGGGAGGUCCUGAUGAUCUCAGACGUCGAGGUGGUGGCGUCAGCUUGAACCCUCUAAGCCCUGCUGGUGUCCCUCGAUUACCUCAAGGUGAAGCUCCAACGCCUCUGCGAGGUGGCCAGAUGUUGAUGCCCAUUCAGAUGCUGUGGUGGUGGCAGCAGAUGUACGCGCGGCACUACUACAUGCAGUAUCAAGCGGCGGUGGUGGCCUCCCAGACUCUCAGCUUCCCCCCUGCCACCUCACAACUGCCCCCUUCCCGGCCCAACGAAGCCACGCCCGCCAUCCCGGACGCCGACCCCCUGCCGGAGAACCUGGCGCUGCCUCCUGCAGCCAACGCCAACAUCCAAAUAAACGUACAGGGCGGCGGCGGCGUGCUGAACGAGGACGAGCUCAACCGCGACUGGCUGGACCGGCUGUAUGCGCUGUUCCGUGGCUUCGUCCUGCUCGGAUUUGUCUACUUCCACGGCUCGUUCGGCCACUUCAUCAUGGUGGUGGGAGCCAUGAUGCUCGUCUACCUGCACCAGGUGGGCUGGUUUCCCUUCAGAACGGUAGCGCAUCUACAGCAGCAGCAAGAGCUGCCAAACUUUCAGGAUCCUGAACAAGCUCAAGCUUGGGAGGAAGCGGAGAUACAACGGGGCAUCUGGGAACUGGAGCGGGUGAUGGACAACGGCAUGGACGAAGCCCAGCAAGAAGACCCCGGCUUGCUCGCCACGGCGUGCUCCUUUGUCCGAAUCUUCUUCAGCUCACUUAUUCCGGAGGGUUGGCCCCAAAGGCCACCUGCCUUACCCCCUGUGCUCCAUCCUUAUUAGUCCUGAAGAAGCCUCAACCAGCAUGUGGACAAGUUGACAUACAUAAUGUUUAAGGCCUGAAAAAGAACUACCUUCCUCUACUGUCCUGCAGAUGUCAGCAUGGCUCCUUGUUAAAUUUGAGGCAGAGAGUGCAGGGGACCUCACGCACGUUAAUAUUCAUGAGGAAAGCAGUGCAGGGAUUUGGGCAGUGAGUAUUGAUACUCAAUUCUAUUUCACUCAUAGUUUAAAAGAGAACAACAAUUUAGUCAUACGUCUCUAUUAAUGUUGACUUCACAGCCCAAAACUAGAAAGCAACUCAAAAUAGCACGGACCUCCCAUAAUGAGCGGCAUGAAAUGUAGUAAAAAUUGCACAUGUCCUAUCAGUCCAUGCGAUUGAGAAUAAAACAAUCUGGUCACCUGACAACUGCGCAUUACUAUAUCGAUAUAUGUACACAAAUGUAUACACAUUUGAAAAUGAAAUAAACGCCAACACCGUGUUUA
This is an RNA transcript of Hippocampus zosterae (dwarf seahorse), 2339 nucleotides long. It is a transcript of the gene named HERPUD family member 2, with no coding region annotated. NCBI's taxonomy places the organism in Eukaryota, Metazoa, Chordata, Actinopteri, Syngnathiformes, Syngnathidae. The record is from RefSeq and is a predicted model, not a curated record. The transcript has 11 exons.